UUUCAUUUGUAACAUUUUUUCUUUUUUUUACUGUCAACUUCAGUUCAUCAGUGUACCUUACAAAAAUAUUACAAAUAAAUGCAAUAAUAAAAACAAUCAUUUAGUGCAUUCACACUGAUUCAAUACUAGCCCAUGUUGGAGAAACAAGAAGGAUUGAGAUGAAAUGAAGGUUUGCAGCAGCUGAGAUCUCGAACAUGCAUGAACAUUGCACUACUCGUAUAAACUUCUUGUUUUUUAUAUGUACAAUAAGCAGAAUAAUCGAAACAAAAAUAAAAAGAAGUUGAGACCAUGUUAGUAAGCCUGGAGCUCGCAGCGUCAGAAUGCCAGUCGAGUCCAAAGCGAGACUGACCCGAACUCGCUGAACACUGGAACACACACGUCUGCGAGAUCAGAAGCACUCUGAUUGGGUUACAUGGAGAGGGGGCCGAGUUUGAGCUAUACUGGGACCAGCCACCAGGGGGCGGUCCAGUGUCUUCUUUUCCUUUCAAUGGCGUUUGGCAAACACUUAAGCUGCACAGCGCCACCUAGUGCUGCUCACGAUAACCAGCGUACGGUCGCCAGAAACAUGUUUAAUCUCCCGAUGCGGAUCCUAGAGAUCGAUCAGGACAUUCCUGAUCACACGAGUAUGGAAAACAUCGAGGAAUAUAGUGACGAUCAGCAGUGCUGGUGGGAUUUGCAUAUUUCAUUGAUGAACUCACUCACUGGUCGACUCAGAUUUAGACAAACGGUCACAGUAUUUCGCUCUGAAGAUCUGAACAUCACACACACACACACACACACACACACACACGCACCAAUAUUACAAAUCAAUACGAGGCUCAUAUACACUUCCUGCAUUAUUAUUACUGUACACAAACAUGCCGUUUAAAGACAUUUCAGUCUAAUCAUCUGUUCCCCAUGAACA
Long non-coding RNA from Rhinichthys klamathensis goyatoka, 904 nucleotides. RefSeq lists it as uncharacterized. The transcript is spliced from 2 exons. NCBI's taxonomy places the organism in Eukaryota, Metazoa, Chordata, Actinopteri, Cypriniformes, Leuciscidae. The record is from RefSeq and is a predicted model, not a curated record.